Solanum stenotomum is the source of this 1452-nucleotide long non-coding RNA. RefSeq lists it as uncharacterized. NCBI's taxonomy places the organism in Eukaryota, Viridiplantae, Streptophyta, Magnoliopsida, Solanales, Solanaceae. The record is from RefSeq and is a predicted model, not a curated record. The transcript has 5 exons.
GGGGUGCUGUGAAAUGUGAAAGUGGAGUAGAAGGAAAAAUAACAGUAGGCAACUACAAAGUGGGAAGAGAAUCCACAGGUCCACAACUUCAAUGUUCUUGUUGAGAUAGAAUCUACUCUUUUCACCUUUAUGUAUUUUUCUUACAUGGUGCUUAUGAACUACCAUUUUUAGGAAAAAGUAUUGCAUCAGUGCUUUCCUAUCCUUUGAGAAGUGGACCUUUUAUUCUUUAUCUUCAGUGAUGGGUCAUUUAUUGUGCUGAAAGAGAAUCUGGGACAAACACUAGAUGAGGGAGAGGCCCUGGACCAAAAGAGUAUGUUCCAACAAAAGGAUGACCACAGUGGAAAGCAGAAAGCAGAAAGCAGAAUUGAGCUUCAAUUAUAUUGCACCAGCUCACAAUGUCAUAUACCGCCACUGAGCAUCCAGAGGUUGUUGGAUGAUUCAGCAACAACCAUGAAGCUGCUUCAUCUUCAUACUCUUCAUCUAUAGUCGUAUCAUCUGCAUCUUGUGUCAAACUCAAGAACCCAUCAUCCUCCGUUCCUUCCCCCGUGGACCCACCAAUCAUCAUAGAAUCACUGCCAACAGUGUCAACAGCUGGAGGACCAUAAAGGGUUCCUGGAGAUUGGAAUCAGAGCCAAAUUUAGAAUUUAAGUUUGAUGAGUUCAAUUUUUAUGUUUUUUAUUAUUUAAAACAUUACACUUUUGAUAUUAUGGUUUAGAAGCCAUAUAUAUUGAAUUUUUUGUUAUUUUUCUCAUGUAGGAGUAUAUAUGGUCUGUGUGAAGAAAAAUGGUGGCUACCUGGAAUGGGAAUAAUUGGGAUACGGUGGUGACGAUGUGCCAAGGGGUUGGCAGAAUGGAUGUCAGCAUCGCAGGAGGCACAAAGUGAGGCAGCAUCCGCCUUGCAAAGAAAGGCUGCAGGGGCACACUCGCAGGCCUCACAAACCCACACACGCUUGUGACGAGAAGCCACCAGACUUGCUGCAUGUACGCGGGCGUCACAGCCUGCACACAAAUAGGCAGAAUCCGCCUGGCAGUAAAUGGUACAGGAGAAUCUAGGAAGAGGCCCUGGACCAAAAGCAGGUAUUGAUGAACAUUAUAUGUCAUCCAAAAAGAGUAUGUUCCAACAAUAAGAUGACCACAGGGGAAAGCAGAAAGCAGACAGCAGAACUCAGCUUCAAUUAUAUUGCACCAGCACACAAUGUCAUAUACAGCCAUUGAGCAUCGGGAGGUCGUCGGACUCUGGCUUCUCUGUCCAUUGGAGUAAGCUGGGGAGGUAUCUGAAUUGGAGGGCCUGAGAACAGAUCGAUGGUCCCUUUUGGAGGUCGUGGAUGAGAGUUUGAAGUUUCACUUAGUGCAGAUUCUGGAACAACACUGACAUCCAUCGACGAAAUGGAAACCUGAUGAUACAUAAAGACAACAAAAACAUGAGUGGUCAACUUCCCUAUUCAUGUAUCAC